Molecule: ribosomal RNA, 1220 nt
Filed under: Acinetobacter calcoaceticus
Lineage: Bacteria; Pseudomonadati; Pseudomonadota; Gammaproteobacteria; Moraxellales; Moraxellaceae
Description: bacterial SSU rRNA
Rfam family: Bacterial small subunit ribosomal RNA
Source: RNAcentral
UGCAAGUCGAGCGGAGUGAUGGUGCUUGCACUAUCACUUAGCGGCGGACGGGUGAGUAAUGCUUAGGAAUCUGCCUAUUAGUGGGGGACAACAUUUCGAAAGGAAUGCUAAUACCGCAUACGUCCUACGGGAGAAAGCAGGGGAUCUUCGGACCUUGCGCUAAUAGAUGAGCCUAAGUCGGAUUAGCUAGUUGGUGGGGUAAAGGCCUACCAAGGCGACGAUCUGUAGCGGGUCUGAGAGGAUGAUCCGCCACACUGGGACUGAGACACGGCCCAGACUCCUACGGGAGGCAGCAGUGGGGAAUAUUGGACAAUGGGCGAAAGCCUGAUCCAGCCAUGCCGCGUGUGUGAAGAAGGCCUUAUGGUUGUAAAGCACUUUAAGCGAGGAGGAGGCUACUGAAGUUAAUACCUUCAGAUAGUGGACGUUACUCGCAGAAUAAGCACCGGCUAACUCUGUGCCAGCAGCCGCGGUAAUACAGAGGGUGCAAGCGUUAAUCGGAUUUACUGGGCGUAAAGCGCGCGUAGGCGGCUAAUUAAGUCAAAUGUGAAAUCCCCGAGCUUAACUUGGGAAUUGCAUUCGAUACUGGUUAGCUAGAGUGUGGGAGAGGAUGGUAGAAUUCCAGGUGUAGCGGUGAAAUGCGUAGAGAUCUGGAGGAAUACCGAUGGCGAAGGCAGCCAUCUGGCCUAACACUGACGCUGAGGUGCGAAAGCAUGGGGAGCAAACAGGAUUAGAUACCCUGGUAGUCCAUGCCGUAAACGAUGUCUACUAGCCGUUGGGGCCUUUGAGGCUUUAGUGGCGCAGCUAACGCGAUAAGUAGACCGCCUGGGGAGUACGGUCGCAAGACUAAAACUCAAAUGAAUUGACGGGGGCCCGCACAAGCGGUGGAGCAUGUGGUUUAAUUCGAUGCAACGCGAAGAACCUUACCUGGCCUUGACAUAGUAAGAACUUUCCAGAGAUGGAUUGGUGCCUUCGGGAACUUACAUACAGGUGCUGCAUGGCUGUCGUCAGCUCGUGUCGUGAGAUGUUGGGUUAAGUCCCGCAACGAGCGCAACCCUUUUCCUUAUUUGCCAGCGAGUAAUGUCGGGAACUUUAAGGAUACUGCCAGUGACAAACUGGAGGAAGGCGGGGACGACGUCAAGUCAUCAUGGCCCUUACGGCCAGGGCUACACACGUGCUACAAUGGUCGGUACAAAGGGUUGCUACCUAGCGAUAGGAUGCUA